Molecule: non-coding RNA, 503 nt
Filed under: uncultured Glomeromycotina
Lineage: Eukaryota; Fungi; Glomeromycota
Also listed under: 1 other name
Description: SSU rRNA
Rfam family: Eukaryotic small subunit ribosomal RNA
Source: RNAcentral
CCAAUAGCGUAUAUUAAAGUUGUUGCAGUUAAAAAGCUCGUAGUUGAAUUUCGGGGUUCAUCCGUUGGUCGGGCUUUUUUGGUCUGUACUGGCGUGAUGGAUUCCUACCUUCUGAAUAACCGGCAUGUCAUUAAUUUGGUGCGCCGGGGAAGCAGGACUGUUACCUUGAAAAAAUUAGAGUGCUUAAAGCAGGCUAUCGCCUGAAUACAUUAGCAUGGAAUAAUGAAAUAGGACGGCAUGGUUCUAUUUUGUUGGUUUCUAGGAUCACCGUAAUGAUUAAUAGGGAUAGUUGGGGGCAUUAGUAUUCAAUUGUCAGAGGUGAAAUUCUUGGAUUUAUUGAAGACUAACUUCUGCGAAAGCAUUUGCCAAGGAUGUUUUCAUUAAUCAAGAACGAAAGUUAGGGGAUCGAAGACGAUCAGAUACCGUCGUAGUCUUAACCAUAAACUAUGCCGACUAGGGAUCGGACGAUGUUAAUUUUUUAAUGACUCGUUCGGCGCCUUACG